This 73-nucleotide transfer RNA is filed under the name Mustela putorius furo (domestic ferret). It matches the Rfam family "tRNA". Rfam says of the family: Transfer RNA (tRNA) molecules are approximately 80 nucleotides in length. Lineage: Eukaryota; Metazoa; Chordata; Mammalia; Carnivora; Mustelidae. The record is from Rfam by way of RNAcentral.
GCCUGACUGGCUCAGUUGUUAGAGUGUGAGACUCUUGAUCUCAGGAUUGUGAGUUUGAUCUCCACAUUGGGUG